This 427-nucleotide ribosomal RNA is filed under the name uncultured bacterium. RNAcentral's name for it is "partial 16S ribosomal RNA". It matches the Rfam family "Bacterial small subunit ribosomal RNA", at positions 355 to 774 of the family's 1533-position model. The record is from RNAcentral.
UGGGGAAUAUUGCACAAUGGGCGCAAGCCUGAUGCAGCCAUGCCGCGUGUAUGAAGAAGGCCUUCGGGUUGUAAAGUACUUUCAGCGGGGAGGAAGGCGAUAAGGUUAAUAACCUUGUCGAUUGACGUUACCCGCAGAAGAAGCACCGGCUAACUCCGUGCCAGCAGCCGCGGUAAUACGGAGGGUGCAAGCGUUACUCGGCAUUACUGGGCGUAAAGCGCACGCAGGCGGUCUGUCAAGUCGGAUGUGAAAUCCCCGGGCUCAACCUGGGAACUGCAUUCGAAACUGGCAGGCUAGAGUCUUGUAGAGGGGGGUAGAAUUCCAGGUGUAGCGGUGAAAUGCGUAGAGAUCUGGAGGAAUACCGGUGGCGAAGGCGGCCCCCUGGACAAAGACUGACGCUCAGGUGCGAAAGCGUGGGGAGCAAACA